This 369-nucleotide long non-coding RNA is filed under the name Lathyrus oleraceus (garden pea). RNAcentral's name for it is "Pisum sativum (pea) long non-coding RNA (PSAT_LNC019138)". The record is from RNAcentral. Lineage: Eukaryota; Viridiplantae; Streptophyta; Magnoliopsida; Fabales; Fabaceae.
UAAGGACAAUAGGUACACUAAAAGUGUCAAGUCAAAAAAAUAAUAAAAAAACAAAAACAACCAACAACAACUAAGAAGGAAAAAAUACAUCAGAAAAAACCACAACAUAAACAACAAACAAAAAAACUAAAAGAGAGAAAACCGCACCAACCCUGCAGCAGAACGUCACCCCAAUAUGACCAAGCUAGAUCUCAGAUCUUUACAUCAGAAAAAACCACAACAUAAACAACAAACAAAAAAACUAAAAGAGAGAAAACCGCACCAACCCUGCAGCAGAACGUCACCCCAAUAUGACCAAGCUAGAUCUCAGAUCUCUAAACCACCGAAAGCAAAAAUUGGCAUAGAACAGGAGAGCCAAGCCAAGAAUCU